UACGAAGGGGGCUAGCGUUGUUCGGAUUUACUGGGCGUAAAGCGCACGUAGGCGGAUCUUUAAGUCAGAGGUGAAAUCCCAAGGCUCAACCUUGGAACUGCCUUUGAUACUGGAGAUCUUGAGUCCGGGAGAGGUGAGUGGAACUGCGAGUGUAGAGGUGAAAUUCGUAGAUAUUCGCAGGAACACCAGUGGCGAAGGCGGCUCACUGGUCCGAUACUGACGCUGAGGUGCGAAAGCGUGGGGAGCAAACAGG
This 253-nucleotide ribosomal RNA is filed under the name uncultured bacterium. RNAcentral describes it as "partial 16S ribosomal RNA". It matches the Rfam family "Bacterial small subunit ribosomal RNA", at positions 524 to 776 of the family's 1533-position model. The record is from RNAcentral.